Molecule: ribosomal RNA, 481 nt
Filed under: uncultured bacterium
Lineage: Bacteria
Description: partial 16S ribosomal RNA
Rfam family: Bacterial small subunit ribosomal RNA
Source: RNAcentral
GAUGAACGCUGGCGGCGUGCUUAACACAUGCAAGUCGAACGAAGCACUUUAUUUGAUUUCCUUCGGGACUGAUUAUUUUGUGACUGAGUGGCGGACGGGUGUGUAACGCGUGGGUAACCUGCCUUGUACAGGGGGAUAACAGUUGGAAACUGCUGCUAAUACCGCAUAAGCGCACGGCAUCGCAUGAUGCAGUGUGAAAACCUCCGGUGGUAUAAGAUGGACCCGCGUUGGAUUAGCUAGUUGGUGAGGUAACGGCCCACCAAGGCGACGAUCCAUAGCCGACCUGAGAGGGUGACCGGCCACAUUGGGACUGAGACACGGCCCAAACUCCUACGGGAGGCAGCAGUGGGGAAUAUUGCACAAUGGGCGAAAGCCUGAUGCAGCGACGCCGCGUGAGCGAAGAAGUAUUUCGGUAUGUAAAGCUAUAUCAGAAGGGAAGAUAAUGAUGGUACCUGACUAAGAAGCACCGGCUAAAUACGUG